GGAGGAAAGCAGGGGAUCGCAAGACCUUGCGCUUUUGGAGCGGCCGAUGUCUGAUUAGCUAGUUGGUGGGGUAAUGGCUUACCAAGGCUUCGAUCAGUAGCUGGUCUGAGAGGACGACCAGCCACACUGGGACUGAGACACGGCCCAGACUCCUACGGGAGGCAGCAGUGGGGAAUUUUGGACAAUGGGGGAAACCCUGAUCCAGCCAUGCCGCGUGAGUGAAGAAGGCCUUCGGGUUGUAAAGCUCUUUCAGCCGGAACGAAAAGGUCACGGCUAAUACCCGUGACAAAUGACGGUACCGGAAGAAGAAGCACCGGCUAACUACGUGCCAGCAGCCGCGGUAAUACGUAGGGUGCAAGCGUUAAUCGGAAUUACUGGGCGUAAAGCGUGCGCAGGCGGUUUUGUAAGUCAGAUGUGAAAUCCCCGGGCUUAACCUGGGAACUGCGUUUGAAACUACAAAGCUAG
RNAcentral lists this ribosomal RNA (465 nucleotides) under uncultured beta proteobacterium. RNAcentral describes it as "bacterial SSU rRNA". It matches the Rfam family "Bacterial small subunit ribosomal RNA", at positions 198 to 644 of the family's 1533-position model. The record is from RNAcentral. Lineage: Bacteria; Pseudomonadati; Pseudomonadota; Betaproteobacteria.